This is a long non-coding RNA of Thalassophryne amazonica, 143 nucleotides long. RefSeq lists it as uncharacterized. The record is from RefSeq and is a predicted model, not a curated record. The transcript is spliced from 3 exons. NCBI's taxonomy places the organism in Eukaryota, Metazoa, Chordata, Actinopteri, Batrachoidiformes, Batrachoididae.
UUCAGACGUGGGUUCUUCCAAUGUCCGGGGCUGCACGCGUGCCAUACUGAUCGGAUCAGCGUGUGCCUACCCUUCGCCGAGAGGCGCGGGUAACCCGAUGAACCCCACUCGUGAUGGGGAUUGGGGAUUGCAAUUACUUCCCA